Long non-coding RNA from Erythranthe guttata (spotted monkey flower), 217 nucleotides. RefSeq lists it as uncharacterized. The record is from RefSeq and is a predicted model, not a curated record. Lineage: Eukaryota; Viridiplantae; Streptophyta; Magnoliopsida; Lamiales; Phrymaceae.
AUGGAGAAUCUAACACCAUUUUACAUGGCUUGGCUCGGUGGCAGUGCUUCGAGAUGGCUCCUCCCACCGGGGUACUGUGACAUACUGCACUCCGAGAUGAGUUAUAUGAUUUGUUGCAAUCGGUGACAUGACAGUGCAGAGACCAUCUGCAGGGUACUCAAUCUAAGCGUCAAUGUCAGAAUGAUUACCGGCAAACAUGUAAUGAUUUUUCAUCCAA